GAAGUGAAACAACCAGUUCCUGCCUUAACUGA
This 32-nucleotide non-coding RNA is filed under the name Homo sapiens (human). The record is from RNAcentral. Lineage: Eukaryota; Metazoa; Chordata; Mammalia; Primates; Hominidae.